This 634-nucleotide ribosomal RNA is filed under the name uncultured Marinobacter sp. Its description in RNAcentral is "bacterial SSU rRNA". It matches the Rfam family "Bacterial small subunit ribosomal RNA", at positions 870 to 1504 of the family's 1533-position model. The record is from RNAcentral. Lineage: Bacteria; Pseudomonadati; Pseudomonadota; Gammaproteobacteria; Pseudomonadales; Marinobacteraceae.
CGCCUGGGGAGUACGGCCGCAAGGUUAAAACUCAAAUGAAUUGACGGGGGCCCGCACAAGCGGUGGAGCAUGUGGUUUAAUUCGACGCAACGCGAAGAACCUUACCUGGCCUUGACAUCCAGAGAGCUUUCCAGAGAUGGAUUGGUGCCUUCGGGAACUCUGAGACAGGUGCUGCAUGGCCGUCGUCAGCUCGUGUCGUGAGAUGUUGGGUUAAGUCCCGUAGCGAGCGCAACCCCUAUCCCUGGUUGCUAGCAGGUAAUGCUGAGAACUCCAGGGAGACUGCCGGUGACAAACCGGAGGAAGGUGGGGAUGACGUCAGGUCAUCAUGGCCCUUACGGCCAGGGCUACACACGUGCUACAAUGGCGCGUACAGAGGGCUGCCAACUCGCGAGAGUGAGCCAAUCCCUUAAAACGCGUCGUAGUCCGGAUCGGAGUCUGCAACUCGACUCCGUGAAGUCGGAAUCGCUAGUAAUCGCGAAUCAGAAUGUCGCGGUGAAUACGUUCCCGGGCCUUGUACACACCGCCCGUCACACCAUGGGAGUGGAUUGCACCAGAAGUAGUUAGUCUAACCUUCGGGAGGACGAUUACCACGGUGUGGUUCAUGACUGGGGUAAGUCGUAACAAGGUAACCGUA